RNAcentral lists this unclassified non-coding RNA (229 nucleotides) under uncultured fungus. RNAcentral's name for it is "sequence contains ITS1, 5.8S rRNA gene". The stretch from base 181 to 229 matches the Rfam family "5.8S ribosomal RNA", at positions 1 to 49 of the family's 154-position model. The record is from RNAcentral. Lineage: Eukaryota; Fungi.
UCUCCGUAGGUGAACCUGCGGAGGGAUCAUUACUGAGUGAGGGCUCACGCCCGACCUCCAACCCUUUGUGAACACAUCUUGUGGCUGCGGGGGCGACCAUGCCGGCACUCUGUCGCCGGGCGCCCCCGAAGGUCUCCAAACACUGCAUCUUUGCGUCGGAGUUUAACACAAAUUAACCAAAACUUUCAACACCGGAUCUCUUGGUUCUGGCAUCGAUGAAGACCGCAGC